RNAcentral lists this long non-coding RNA (2658 nucleotides) under Paramuricea clavata. Lineage: Eukaryota; Metazoa; Cnidaria; Anthozoa; Malacalcyonacea; Plexauridae. The record is from RNAcentral.
CCCGGUGAGACACGAGCUCGAGUUGUUUAUAUGGCUUCUCAAAUGAAUCGAGACGUAACAGAAUGUUUUCGUUUGCUGAUUUGAAUAGAAUUCUUAACCAAGCAUAAAGUAAUUAGGAAUUCUAUUCAAGUAAUUUUGCAUGUGUAAUUAAGAUAUUUGAUGAAAACACUAGUGACUUUCAUCAAGUUUCACCGGGUUAUCCAAAUGGCAUCUUGUGAUCAAAUAGGUGAUUAUCAUUGGCUGAAUUACUCAUGAAUUAUUAAUGAAUUUGAGAAGCUUAUAUCGGAAGAGAGAAAGCAAUUUAGACAAGGCUCCGAGUUAUUGAGAGCUUGACUCUGAGCUUAUCGAACUUGGCUUCUUGUGCAUGUCAGAUAAGGAAGAUAAGAGGAUAAAUAUAAGGAAGAUAAGGAUAAGGAAGAUAAGAAGAUAAAGAUGAGAAGAUAAAGAUAAGGAUAACGAUAAAGAAGAUAAAGAUAAGGAUAAAGAUAAGAAGAUAAAGAUAAGGAUAAAGAUAAGAAGAUCAGGAUAAAGAUAAGGAAGAUAAAGAUAAGGAAGAUAAAGAUAAGGAUAAGGAACAUAAAGAUUAAGAUAAGGAUAAAGAUAAGGAAGAUAAAGAUAAGGAUAAAGAUAUGGAUAAAGAUAAGGAUAAAGAUUAAAAGAUAAAGAUAAAGAUAAGGAAGAUAAAGAUAAGAAGAUAAGAUAAGAUAAGGAUAAAGAUAAGGAUAAAGAUAAGGAUAAAGAUAAGGAUAAAGAUAAGGAUAAAGAUAAGGAUAAAGAUAAGAUAAAGAUAAGGAAGAUAAAUAUAAGGAAUAUAAAGAUAAGGAUAAAGAAGAUAAAUAUAAGGAAGAUAAGGAUAAAGAUAAGAGGAUAAAUAUAAGGGAGAUAAGGAUAAGGAAGAUAAGAAGAUAAAGAUAAGAAGAUAAAGAUAAGGAUAAAGAUAAGGAUAAGGAUAAAGAUAAGAAGAUAAGGAUAAAGAUAAGAAGAUAAGGAUAAAGAUAAGGAAGAUAAACAUAAAGAUAAGGAUAAGGAACAUAAAGAUUAGGAUAAGGAUAAAGAUAAGGAUAAGGAACAUAAAGAUUAAGAUAAGGAUAAAGAUAAGGAAGAUAAAGAUAAGGAUAAAGAUUAAGAUAAAGAUAAGGAAGAUAAAGAUAAGAGGAUAAAGAUAAAAAUAAGGAUAAAGAAGAUAAUGAUAAGAAUAAAGAUAAAGAAGAUAAAGAUAAGGAAGAUAAAGAUAAAGAUAAGGAUAAAAAAGAUAAAGAUAAGGAAGAUAAAGAUAAGGAUAAAGAUAAGGAUAAAGAUAAAGAAGAUAAAGAUAAAGAAUAUAAAGAUAAAGAUAAGGAUAAAGAUAAGGAAGAUAAAGAUACAGAAUAAUACUGGAUAGAUGCAUUAAUGAAUAUAUAGAACGAAUACGCCAACUUAUUAUCACUUCCAGCUAGACGUUCGUGGUGUGAACAUGUCCUUUCCGUGCAAUAUAUGUGCCAAAGUAUUUUCAACACGCGGCAACCUCAAGCGUCAUACUUUGAAUGCCCAUGGAGAUGUUCAAAGCAAACCAGUUGAAAUCUCAGCAAGAUCUACAGUUUUGCAGCAUCCUUUCACAUGUAUCGUAGCUGGGUGUACCCAAAGCGGCAAGACUGUGUGGGUAAAAUCUCUCUUGGAGAAUGCACAGAAAACUAUAAGUCCUGCUCCUCAACGUAUCAUUUGGUGUUAUGGUCAAUGGCAACCCUCCUAUUUUGAUAUGAUGAGAACGAUGACUGGAAUCGAGUUUAAUAAAGGCAUCCCCGAAGACAUCGACAACGCAGAUUACUUGGACGUAUCGCAACGGAAUUUGGUCGUAUUGGACGACCUUAUGGCUCAAUCUGGCAAAGAUAAACGUAUUUCUGAUCUAUUUACGAAAGGAAGUCAUCAUCGGAAUUUAUCUAUCAUCUAUAUUGUUCAAAAUAUAUUCCAUCAAGGCAAAGAAAUGAGAAAUAUCAGUCUAAACGCCCAUUAUAUUGUGCUGUUCAAGUCACCAAGAGAUAAACAGCAAAUUUCUAUGCUUGCAAGGCAAGUAGAUCCUGGAAGAGUACAAGAAUUUAUGAGGAGUUAUGAAGAUGCUACGAGCCUACCUCACGGGUAUUUGAUGUUGGAUUUAAAGCCAACAACAGAUGAUCAACAACGACUCAAGACAAACGUACUUCCCGGCGAGAUUGCAAAGUUUAUACAAAAACAGUCGUAUCGUCAACCACCACUUGUAAAUGCCAUGUAUGAUGCCGAGCAGCGAAUGAAAGAAAUCAUGGAUGCACCACAGCUAAGCGCAGUGGAAAAAAGCAAAUUAUACUCUGAUCAACUAAAUCGGUUUCUCACAUUCAAAAAUAAGAUGGAUGUUCCGACUCAAGCUCCUGUUCAGACAACUCCACUAGUGCCUGCAGAAAUACCACAACCCAAUGAAUUAGUUGAGAUAGCACCACCAGUGCCUGCUACCCCUAAACCUAAUUUCCUUACACCACCACCAACAGAAGAGGAACGGCCAAAACUCAAGCGCAAUUUUUUUCACAAUUGGGUCGACCCAGCAGAUUGGACCGAACGUGACCUAGCGCGAAUGACUCCGGAAGCAAGAGAGGAUUAUGAACGUUUUAUAUUGAGCGACCGACCAAAAUAUAUUCCAAUGAAGCCGGAAAA